GAUGAACGCUGGCGGCGUGCCUAAUACAUGCAAGUCGAGCGAACGGACGAGAAGCUUGCUUUUCUGAUGUUAGCGGCGGACGGGUGAGUAACACGUGGAUAACCUACCUAUAAGACUGGGAUAACUUCGGGAAACCGGAGCUAAUACCGGAUAAUAUUUUGAACCGCAUGGUUCAAAAGCGAAAGACGGUCUUGCUGUCACUUAUAGAUGGAUCCGCGCUGCAUUAGCUAGUUGGUAAGGUAACGGCUUACCAAGGCAACGAUGCAUAGCCGACCUGAGAGGGGGAUCGGCCACACUGGAACUGAGACACGGUCCAGACUCCUACGGGAGGCAGCAGUAGGGAAUCUUCCGCAAUGGGCGAAAGCCUGACGGAGCAACGCCGCGUGAGUGAUGAAGGUCUUCGGAUCGUAAAACUCUGUUAUUAGGGAAGAACAUAUGUGUAAGUAACUGUGCACAUCUUGACGGUACCUAAUCAGAAAACCACGGCUAACUACGU
This 496-nucleotide ribosomal RNA is filed under the name uncultured bacterium. RNAcentral describes it as "partial 16S ribosomal RNA". It matches the Rfam family "Bacterial small subunit ribosomal RNA", at positions 28 to 506 of the family's 1533-position model. The record is from RNAcentral.